This 98-nucleotide microRNA precursor is filed under the name Nomascus leucogenys (northern white-cheeked gibbon). RNAcentral describes it as "miRNA (ENSNLEG00000028396.1)". The record is from RNAcentral. Lineage: Eukaryota; Metazoa; Chordata; Mammalia; Primates; Hylobatidae.
GAGAUGGGAAGAUGGCUUGAGCCCAAGAGGUUGAGGCUGCAGUGAGCUGUGAUCACACCACUGCACUCCAGCCUGAGUGACAGAGCAAGACCUUGUCU